GACGAACGCUGGCGGCGUGCUUAACACAUGCCAGUCGAACGGAAAGGCCCUGCUUGCCGGGUACUCGAGUGGCGAACGGGUGAGUAACACGUGGGUGAUCUGCCCUGCACUUCGGGAUAAGCCUGGGAAACUGGGUCUAAUACCGGAUAGGAGCCAUUUUUAGUGUGAUGGUUGGAAAGUUUUUUCGGUGUAGGAUGAGCUCGCGGCCUAUCAGCUUGUUGGUGGGGUAAUGGCCUACCAAGGCGGCGACGGGUAGCCGGCCUGAGAGGGUGGACGGCCACAUUGGGACUGAGAUACGGCCCAGACUCCUACGGGGGGCAGCAGUGGGGAAUAUUGCACAAUGGGCGCAAGCCUGAUGCAGCGACGCCGCGUGGGGGAUGACGGCCUUCGGGUUGUAAACUCCUUUCGCUAGGGACGAAGCUUUUUGUGACGGUACCUAGAUAAGAAGCACCGGCUAACUACGUG
This 465-nucleotide ribosomal RNA is filed under the name uncultured bacterium. Its description in RNAcentral is "partial 16S ribosomal RNA". It matches the Rfam family "Bacterial small subunit ribosomal RNA", at positions 28 to 507 of the family's 1533-position model. The record is from RNAcentral.